GGGAACUGUGGGCGAGGAGGCGCGGAAAUAGAGGGGGGGCGAGAGGGAAACGUGGGUACUGGGCGUAAAGGGCGCGUAGGGGGGUAUAUAAGAGUGAUGUGAAAUCCCUGUGCUUAACCUAGGAACUGUAUCGAUGACUGUGUGGCUGGAGUACUGUAGAGGGUAGUGGAAUUUACGGUGUAGCGGUUAAAUGCGUAGGGAUCGGAAGGAACACCAGUGGCGAAGGCGGCUACCUGGACAGAUACUGACGCUGAGGCGCGAGAGCGUGGGGAGCAAACAGGAUUAGAUACCCCUGUAGUC
RNAcentral lists this ribosomal RNA (300 nucleotides) under uncultured Methanimicrococcus sp. RNAcentral describes it as "bacterial SSU rRNA". The stretch from base 57 to 300 matches the Rfam family "Bacterial small subunit ribosomal RNA", at positions 552 to 795 of the family's 1533-position model. The record is from RNAcentral. Lineage: Archaea; Methanobacteriati; Methanobacteriota; Methanomicrobia; Methanosarcinales; Methanosarcinaceae.